This 828-nucleotide ribosomal RNA is filed under the name uncultured fungus. Its description in RNAcentral is "bacterial SSU rRNA". It matches the Rfam family "Eukaryotic small subunit ribosomal RNA", at positions 803 to 1591 of the family's 1831-position model. Lineage: Eukaryota; Fungi. The record is from RNAcentral.
UUUAGCAUGGAAUAAUAGAAUAGGACUCUAGGCCUGUUCGUUGGUUGGGGCAGAGAGUAAUGAUUAACAGAAACAGUUGGGGGCGUUUGUAUUUAAUUGUCAGAGGUGAAAUUCUUGGAUUUAAGAAAGACAAACCUAUGCGAAAGCAUUCGCCAAGGAUGUUUUCAUUGAUCAAGAACGAAAGUUAAGGGAUCGAAGACGAUCAGAUACCGUCGUAGUCUUAACUAUAAACGAUGCCGACCAGGGAUUGGGAGACGUUACAUGGAUGACUCCCCCAGCACCUUGUGAGAAAUCACAAGUCUUUGGGUUCCGGGGGGAGUAUGGUCGCAAGGCUGAAACUUAAAGGAAUUGACGGAAGGGCACACCAGGAGUGGAGCCUGCGGCUUAAUUUGACUCAACACGGGGAAACUCACCAGGUCCAGACAUAGUAAGGAUUGACAGAUUGAAGCUCUUUCUUGAUUCUAUGGGUGGUGGUGCAUGGCCGUUCUUAGUUGGUGGAGUGAUUUGUCUGGUUAAUUCCGUUAACGAACGGGACCUCAGCCUGCUAACUAGUCAGGUGAAUGUUCUAAUGGGUGAAGCAUCAGAGUCGCUUAUGAGUUUCGGCUUGUGAGUACUCGGGUGGGGAUCCUUGAGCGAUUCGCCUGUACUUCUUAGAGGGACUAUUUAUGUCUAAUAAAUGGAAGCUUGAGGCAAUAACAGGUCUGUGAUGCCCUUAGAUGUUCUGGGCUGCACGCGCGCUACACUGAUUGGCACAGAGAGUUUUUCCUGGCUCGAUGGGGCUGGGUAAUCUGCUAAAGCUAGUCGUGAUGGGGAUAGAGCAUUGCAAUA